GCCGAGACGGGGGAAUAGAAAAGCCACCUUGAAGGAAGGAACUGGGGCACGCACGCCGGACUCCGUAUUUUGCAGAUAUAUCUGUGUGGGCAAAACAGAGGAUAGCUUUUUUAUUGUUCCAGUCUUAAGUCCCGUCUUGGUCAUGUGACAGAGGAAAAAGAUAGUUGCUUGUUCAAAAGGACCAUGCAACAUUCAAGUCUUCAACUCUACAUACAUUGAUUUCC
Long non-coding RNA from Protobothrops mucrosquamatus (brown spotted pit viper), 224 nucleotides. RefSeq lists it as uncharacterized. The record is from RefSeq and is a predicted model, not a curated record. NCBI's taxonomy places the organism in Eukaryota, Metazoa, Chordata, Lepidosauria, Squamata, Viperidae. The transcript has 3 exons.